RNAcentral lists this ribosomal RNA (474 nucleotides) under uncultured bacterium. RNAcentral describes it as "bacterial SSU rRNA". It matches the Rfam family "Bacterial small subunit ribosomal RNA", at positions 335 to 799 of the family's 1533-position model. The record is from RNAcentral.
ACUCCUACGGGAGGCAGCAGUAGGGAAUCUUCCACAAUGGGCGAAAGCCUGAUGGAGCAACGCCGCGUGGGUGAAGAAGGUCUUCGGAUCGUAAAACCCUGUUGUUAGAGAAGAAAGUGCGUGAGAGUAACUGUUCACGUUUCGACGGUAUCUAACCAGAAAGCCGCGGCUAACUACGUGCCAGCAGCCGCGGUAAUACGUAGGUGGCAAGCGUUAUCCGGAUUUAUUGGGGCGUAAAGGGAACGCAGGCGGUCUUUUAAGUCUGAUGUGAAAGCCUUCGGCUUAACCGGAGUAGUGCAUUGGAAACUGGGAGACUUGAGUGCAGAAGAGGAGAGUGGAACUCCAUGUGUAGCGGUGAAAUGCGUAGAUAUAUGGAAGAACACCAGUGGCGAAAGCGGCUCUCUGGUCUGUAACUGACGCUGAGGUUCGAAAGCGUGGGUAGCAAACAGGAUUAGAUACCCUGGUAGGAUAGCG